AAAACAUCACAGACAGACCUCUAAUGGGUUCAUAUGCCUAGAAGCAGAGUCACCUAGCAGGGCUAAGUUGAUUAAGAACAGGCUGGCUUGACCUUUAUUUUGCUUUGUUUAGUACUAGGAACAAAGCAAGCUGAAACAGUUUGUGCAUUAAGUUUGAAAAGCCCUGAGCAAUAAAAGUAAGGCCUACUUAGACAAUACUGAGAGCUUGCACUGAAGUGCGCUGGCUCAAGAUCUGAUCCUAGAAGCAGAUGAACUAAGACAACCAGGAUUGGGGCUUGACAUCUUUUUCUCAAAACCCCACUGAAAUUUCAUCAUUUUCUUUGGGCACUCUGCAUUGUAAAGAAGAAUGAUGCGAUCUUUUCUCUAUGCAGAUUGUGGCACUACCUUUUUCUUCUAAACUUUGAUAUGCCAAAAAGCAAGAUUACAACAAAUUUGGUUUAAAGAUCUAACUGGUUUUUAUUUGCAAUUCUAGAAUUGAGUAACAUCUCAAUCUAUAAAACAGAAUAGGUAUUCUAAUGUAGGUAAUCUCAGAAGACGUUGAUUUUAUAGAAAAAGACUGAAGAACGCAGAGAUAAGGACUGAAAAAUAGAUUUGGUCAUUUCAAAGUUACUUUCCUUAUAGAGUUAAAACAAAGGGAACUUUCUUAUCAUGACGGCUCAGGUAAACUGGGUCCUUCUGAUUGGUUAUUGUGACUCUCCUGAUUUUCUGGAAUUCUGGCCCAUUUCAGAGUUCACUUUAAGUAGCAACUAGCAGUAAGAAUUCAAUUCUUGUGUGUCCUUUGUA
Cebus imitator (Panamanian white-faced capuchin) is the source of this 783-nucleotide long non-coding RNA. RefSeq lists it as uncharacterized. The record is from RefSeq and is a predicted model, not a curated record. NCBI's taxonomy places the organism in Eukaryota, Metazoa, Chordata, Mammalia, Primates, Cebidae. The transcript is spliced from 3 exons.